GGAUACUUCUUGCAAUAUUUAUUCCACUUGAAAUUAAUCCAUAGUGAUUUCUUUUAUUCUAAAGUUUUAAAAACAUCAAAUAAUAAUAUAAACCCUAUACCACAUAAUCUUACAAAUAAAGUUUUAAAAACAUCAAAUAAUAAUCUAAACCCUAGACCACCUUCAUCUUUUGGUAAACAAAUAUUUGUCCGUGAGAUCUAGUACCUUCUUCUCUCCUCAUAUGUACUAUUUCAGAGAAACCUUGCAAAUAAUUUGUAAAUGUCAUGAUUACACAGUUUGGGCGGUUGACAACUGAUAAUAGAUAAAUAGGUACUCUGAAUAACACUAUUAAUCAAGAUUGCUUUACUCCCAAAUGACAGAAACUUUCCCUUCCAAGCCUGGAUUUUGUUCUUUAUCUUCUCGGCCAGAGUAGUAACUUGUCCUUUUUUAUUGGAAUGAAAUAUAGGGCAUCCCAAAUAUACAAAAGGAAAAUUACCUUUGCCGAAAUCUGUCACCUCUUCUACUUGUUAAAUAAGAUUGUUUACAGUGUUCCUGUGUACAAAAAAGGAACUUUUCUCCUUGUUGAUGAAUUGUCCAGAUUGCUUCUCAUAAUCCUCCAAGGAACUUGUUGUUGCUCAUGUUCCUUGUGGCUUGUUGCCAUCUUUUUGAGCCUCUAUAUCUUGCACUUUUAGGGCAUCACAGAGUGGAGUUAUAUUAAUCCUAUGGAGCUUGAUAGUUUCAGGGAUGAUGGUGCGCAACUCCUCCAAAUCAAGCCAACCAUAGAACUUCCCCACAAUGGCAUGUUGCAAAUUUUUUACAUUCAUCUUUGCAACUUCUGAUUCAAACCAUUUUAUAUAUGACUCUCCAUGUAAUAUUGUAACAAGCUUAGCCGCAAUUGUAGGAAAAUCUCUUUUUGGGCACGUAGGAUUGCUAUUCGAAGUCUCAGGUUUCAGAAUCUUCGAGUAAUCUAGGGCGUUUGAAGUCAUAUUGGUAUCUGGGCUGGGUAAUUUGGGUGGUGCGCCAAGCAGGGACUGGUCAACCAUUGUCGUGGAUGACUGACCAGUGGCCGUAUUGGCCAUCAAUGGUUGUUUCCGAUAGUAAAAAAUCUAGGGUUUUCGAGCAUGGGAGGUGUGCUAGAGAGCCUUUUUCCCGAAUAAAAUUCUAUGUAGAGAAUACAAUUCAAUAACAAAUUUUUUUUUUUCUC
Long non-coding RNA from Capsicum annuum, 1183 nucleotides. RefSeq lists it as uncharacterized. Lineage: Eukaryota; Viridiplantae; Streptophyta; Magnoliopsida; Solanales; Solanaceae. The transcript has 3 exons. The record is from RefSeq and is a predicted model, not a curated record.